RNAcentral lists this ribosomal RNA (496 nucleotides) under uncultured bacterium. RNAcentral's name for it is "partial 16S ribosomal RNA". It matches the Rfam family "Bacterial small subunit ribosomal RNA", at positions 29 to 507 of the family's 1533-position model. The record is from RNAcentral.
AUGAACGCUGGCGGCGUGCCUAAUCCAUGCACGUCGAGCGAACAGACGAGGAGCUUGCUCCUCUGACGUUAGCGGCGGACGGGUGAGUAACACGUGGAUAACCUACCUAUAAGACUGGGAUAACUUCGGGAAACCGGGGCUAAUACCGGAUAAUAUAUUGAACCGCAUGGUUCAAUAGUGAAAGACGGUUUUGCUGUCACUUAUAGAUGGAUCCGCGCCGCAUUAGCUAGUUGGUAAGGUAACGGCUUACCAAGGCAACGAUGCGUAGCCGACCUGAGAGGGUGAUCGGCCACACUGGAACUGAGACACGGUCCAGACUCCUACGGGAGGCAGCAGUAGGGAAUCUUCCGCAAUGGGCGAAAGCUUGACGGAGCAACGCCGCGUGAGUGAUGAAGGUCUUCGGAUCGUAAAACUCUGUUAUUAGGGAAGAACAAAUGUGUAAGUAACUAUGCACGUCUUGACGGUACCUAAUCAGAAAGCCACGGCUAACUACGUG